UUCAAAUUAAUAAUUACAGUAGACACAGCGUACGGGCUUGGGGUGACAGGAGUGUGCCUUAUCAUCAUCAUCGUGCUGUCCUGGGCAGUGAGACUACUACUUCGUAAGAUGGGCAUCACAUGCAGACUCCCCAUGAAGAAAAGUCGUGUAAAAAGGAGACCGGCAGCACGAGACAUUGAGCUGAAGGACAUAAGAACCGUAAGGAUAGAAACGGACGAGAGUGAGGAUGAAGAGGUGCAGCUGAAAACCCGCUACGACCUGCGCGGAAGAAAAGAGUAAAGGAUGACGAAAGAUCAGUACGUAUCCAGGGAGGAACGAAGUCACUAAAGUUACAAAAGUUCCAGGAAGGAAUGUGUAAAUUCAUCUUCAUAAAAAUUUUGUAAACAUUGUUCAGGGAGGAACGAAGUCAUUAAAGACACAAAACAAAAUUCCAGAAAGGAUUGUGUAAAUUCAUCCUCAUUAAAAUUUUG
This is a long non-coding RNA of Saccostrea cuccullata (small rock oyster), 470 nucleotides long. RefSeq lists it as uncharacterized. The record is from RefSeq and is a predicted model, not a curated record. The transcript has 3 exons. NCBI's taxonomy places the organism in Eukaryota, Metazoa, Mollusca, Bivalvia, Ostreida, Ostreidae.